CGCUCGGCUAAAGAUAACGACUCGGCUCCAGUUACAAAGCCUUUCCCAAACACGAACGCAGCCGGUGAAUAAGCCGCGCCGGCAUGCCAGCCGAUGUGUCACUGCUACUUAAGAAAAGGGGAAGGAGAGAAAUGGAAAGGAAAGGAAGUGGUGGGAGAAACAUUUUUUUUUUUUUUUGUGGAAGACUGUAACUGUUGCUUUUGUUGGAAAACCCUGGUGACCUGGACUAUUGUCACGAGAGAACAAACACAAGCGGCUUCUGAGUGGCUGUUCAAGUAAAUGAUUGUUUACCAGCGGAGGGAGUCAGCAGGGCAGGCGUGGGACCUUCAUAAACAACACCUGCUCCACAUAAAAUUACUAAGAAGAUCGAUCCAGACUCGUGUCACCUGCACAUCGGGCUAUCGCUGGCGCUUCAGGCCCCUCAGAGUGCUGCCUCCCAUCAGCCCUGGCUGAGCUCCAGACGACAGGCCUCUGCCUAGCGCUCUAAUGACUUACAGAUUGGAACUCUGUGGCAUACAUGUGUCAGGACGAUGCCACGGGCCGACUGCAAAAACAGUGGGAGAGCAGAGAGAAAGAGAGCCGGCGGCUUCUCCCCGUCCUGUCAGCGAGUGCUUGGCCCCUGGAUUGUGUCACAUCACGCUUCCCCCCAACAGACCACAACUGAAGGAUGUGAAGAGCAAACGCACGGAGGAGGAGGGGUCCUGGAAGGAGGCUCUCUGACUUAAAAGGCUUUCAUUUUGUAAACUAAAAAACAUUAUCAUUUGACCCGCUCAUGCCCUUUGUGAGGCCUGGACACUAAAAAACAGAAAAGAAAGGGAUUGAAAGAUGUGUGGACUGUAGCUCUACCAGGGGAUGGUGUGCAUUAUUUAUAACAGCUACAGUUUCAAAUAUCACUGUCAUGUCGGAAGAAUAGGAAAUGAUUAAACCUUUGAAAUUAAAGAGUUUCAACCAAUUUUCAAAUUAAAAUGUUGAACUUUU
Long non-coding RNA from Fundulus heteroclitus (mummichog), 978 nucleotides. RefSeq lists it as uncharacterized. Lineage: Eukaryota; Metazoa; Chordata; Actinopteri; Cyprinodontiformes; Fundulidae. The record is from RefSeq and is a predicted model, not a curated record. The transcript is spliced from 2 exons.